This 489-nucleotide ribosomal RNA is filed under the name uncultured bacterium. Its description in RNAcentral is "bacterial SSU rRNA". It matches the Rfam family "Bacterial small subunit ribosomal RNA", at positions 903 to 1397 of the family's 1533-position model. The record is from RNAcentral.
AAAGGAAUAGACGGGACCCCGCACAAGCGGUGGAUCAUGUUGUUUAAUUCGAGGAUACGCGAAGAACCUUACCAGGUCUUGACAUCCUCUGCAAAGCUAUAGAGAUAUAGUGGAGGUUAACAGAGAGACAGGUGGUGCAUGGUUGUCGUCAGCUCGUGUCGUGAGAUGUUGGGUUAAGUCCCGCAACGAGCGCAACCCUUGUUGCUAGUUGCCAUCAUUAAGUUGGGGACUCUAGCGAGACUGCCAGUGACAAACUGGAGGAAGGUGGGGAUGACGUCAAAUCAUCAUGCCCCUUAUGGCCUGGGCUACAAACGUGAUACAAUGGCUGAAACAAAGAGAAGCGAGAGGGUGACCUUAAGCGGACCUCAUAAAACCAGUCUCAGUUCGGAUUGAAGUCUGCAACUCGACUUCAUGAAGUCGGAAUCGCUAGUAAUCGCAGAUCAGCAUGCUGCGGUGAAUACGUUCUCGGGGUUUGUACACACCGCCCGU